AUAUGGGGCUGUAUCAUCUUCAAAUACUGGCAGCAGUUCCAAUAGCAACUUUUUAGCAUUGAAGAAAACUUUGUCUAAGAUUAGUAAGGGCAAAUAUGUUUUGGGGGAUUUACCUGUUCAAAUGAAGAUCAUAGUAGGCAGGGUUUGUCACCAGGAUAUAUUGGAUUCUGCAAGAAUAUGGGCUCAGGAAAUAUUAAAAAUACAGGAUAUGACUUUGAAACAGUGGAUUCUGUUGACAAUGAUACUGCUACUUCUGAUGAAAGUUUGAUGGAAGCAGACACUUCCUUAGAAGAAGACGCCUUGCAUAUUUUGAGUUCGUCUGAUUGGCCAA
Molecule: unclassified non-coding RNA, 331 nt
Filed under: Hevea brasiliensis (rubber tree)
Lineage: Eukaryota; Viridiplantae; Streptophyta; Magnoliopsida; Malpighiales; Euphorbiaceae
Source: RNAcentral